Molecule: ribosomal RNA, 427 nt
Filed under: uncultured Rhodanobacter sp.
Lineage: Bacteria; Pseudomonadati; Pseudomonadota; Gammaproteobacteria; Lysobacterales; Rhodanobacteraceae
Description: bacterial SSU rRNA
Rfam family: Bacterial small subunit ribosomal RNA
Source: RNAcentral
UGGGGAAUAUUGGACAAUGGGCGCAAGCCUGAUCCAGCAAUGCCGCGUGUGUGAAGAAGGCCUUCGGGUUGUAAAGCACUUUUGUCAGGAGCGAAAUCUGCAUGCUUAAUACGUGUGCAGCCUGACGGUACCUGAGGAAUAAGCACCGGCUAACUUCGUGCCAGCAGCCGCGGUAAUACGAAGGGUGCAAGCGUUAAUCGGAAUUACUGGGCGUAAAGGGUGCGUAGGCGGUUCGUUAAGUCUGUCGUGAAAUCCCCGGGCUCAACCUGGGAAUGGCGAUGGAUACUGGCGAGCUAGAGUGUGUCAGAGGAUGGUGGAAUUCCCGGUGUAGCGGUGAAAUGCGUAGAGAUCGGGAGGAACAUCAGUGGCGAAGGCGGCCAUCUGGGACAACACUGACGCUGAAGCACGAAAGCGUGGGGAGCAAACA